RNAcentral lists this unclassified non-coding RNA (254 nucleotides) under uncultured fungus. RNAcentral describes it as "sequence contains ITS1". The stretch from base 1 to 117 matches the Rfam family "5.8S ribosomal RNA", at positions 49 to 154 of the family's 154-position model. Lineage: Eukaryota; Fungi. The record is from RNAcentral.
UGAAAGGCGAAACGUAAUGUGAAUCGCAACUAACAGUGAAUCAUCGAAUCUUUGAACGCAGGCCGCACCUUACAAUUUCACUCUGUGACAUUGCAAGGUAUCUACGUAUGAGUGUCAGCCCAAUAUACUUUUGGUUUAGGAGGAAUUUAUAUUUGAAUGUUUUUUAUUCAAAGAUAAAAACUCUUAAAUACAUAUAUAUAACUUACUUUAUAUAUGUCUGGCCUCAUAUGUGGAAGGUUACCCGCUGGAUUUAA